UUGAAAAGAAAGUCAGAUAUACUAAAAUUGGAAAGCUGCAAAUAAGAUUAAUAUGGCCCCUACUCAAGAAUGACACUAAUUUGUGAAGUGUUCCAUAUUUUU
Molecule: small nuclear RNA, 102 nt
Filed under: Chinchilla lanigera (long-tailed chinchilla)
Lineage: Eukaryota; Metazoa; Chordata; Mammalia; Rodentia; Chinchillidae
Source: RNAcentral